CACGUAGUUAGCCGGCGCUUUUUCUGCAGGUACCGUCACUUACGCUUCUUCCCUGCUAAAAGAGGUUUACAACCCGAAGGCCGUCAUCCCUCACGCGGCGUUGCUGCAUCAGGCUUGCGCCCAUUGUGCAAUAUUCCCCACUGCUGCCUCCCGUAGGAGUCUGGGCCGUGUCUCAGUCCCAGUGUGGCCGGUCACCCUCUCAGGCCGGCUACCCGUCGACGCCUUGGUGAGCCAUUACCUCACCAACAAGCUGAUAGGCCGCGAGCCCAUCCCAGACCGAAAAAUCUUUCCAAACACGACCAUGCGAUCACGUCUCAUAUCCAGUAUUAGACACCGUUUCCAGCGCUUAUCCCAGAGUCCAGGGCAGGUUGCUCACGUGUUACUCACCCGUUCGCCACUGAUCCACCAAGCAAGCUUGGCUUCACCGUUCGACUUGCAUGUGUUAAGCACGCCGCCAGCGUUCAUCCUGAGCCAGGAUCAAACUCU
RNAcentral lists this ribosomal RNA (486 nucleotides) under uncultured Microbacterium sp. Its description in RNAcentral is "partial 16S ribosomal RNA". The record is from RNAcentral. Lineage: Bacteria; Bacillati; Actinomycetota; Actinomycetes; Micrococcales; Microbacteriaceae.